RNAcentral lists this ribosomal RNA (529 nucleotides) under Bipolaris sp. LS-451. Its description in RNAcentral is "eukaryotic LSU rRNA". The stretch from base 155 to 308 matches the Rfam family "5.8S ribosomal RNA". The record is from RNAcentral. Lineage: Eukaryota; Fungi; Ascomycota; Dothideomycetes; Pleosporales; Pleosporaceae.
UAUGAAACGCUGUCCGCAGCUGGAGUAUUUUAUUACCCUUGUCUUUUGCGCACUUGUUGUUUCCUGGGCGGGUUCGCUCGCCACCAGGACCACCAAAUAAACCUUUUUUAUGCAGUUGCAAUCAGCGUCAGUACAAACAAUGUAAAUCAUUUACAACUUUCAACAACGGAUCUCUUGGUUCUGGCAUCGAUGAAGAACGCAGCGAAAUGCGAUACGUAGUGUGAAUUGCAGAAUUCAGUGAAUCAUCGAAUCUUUGAACGCACAUUGCGCCCUUUGGUAUUCCAAAGGGCAUGCCUGUUCGAGCGUCAUUUGUACCCUCAAGCUUUGCUUGGUGUUGGGCGUUUUUGUCUUUGGUCGCCCAAAGACUCGCCUUAAAGUGAUUGGCAGCCGGCCUUUCUGGUUUCGCAGCGCAGCACAUUUUUGCGCUUGCCAUCAGCAAAACGGCAAUCCAUCAAGCCUCCUUCUCACGUUUGACCUCGGAUCAGGUAGGGAUACCCGCUGAACUUAAGCAUAUCAAUAAGCCGGAGGA